RNAcentral lists this unclassified non-coding RNA (390 nucleotides) under soil metagenome. Its description in RNAcentral is "partial contains 5.8S ribosomal RNA, internal transcribed spacer 2, and large subunit ribosomal RNA". The stretch from base 1 to 122 matches the Rfam family "5.8S ribosomal RNA", at positions 35 to 154 of the family's 154-position model. The record is from RNAcentral.
GAUGAAGAACGCAGCGAAAUGCGAUACUUGGUGUGAAUUGCAGAAUCCCGUGAACCAUCGAGUCUUUGAACGCAAGUUGCGCCCGAAGCCAUUAGGCCGAGGGCACGCCUGCCUGGGUGUCACACGUCGUUGCCCCCCCAUCUACUCCUUCGGGAUUGCGGGGGGCGGAUGAUGGCCUCCCGUGCGCCUCGUCGCGCGGUUGGCAUAAAUGCCAAGUCCUCGGCGACGCACGCCACGACAAUCGGUGGUUGCGAAACCUCGGUUGCCCGUCGUGUGCGGUCGUCGCGCAUCGAGGGCUCGAAAAAAUUGCCGGGCUCCGGCUCGGCUUUCAACGCGACCCCAGGUCAGGCGGGGUUACCCGCUGAAUUUAAGCAUAUCAAUAAGGGAGGA